RNAcentral lists this ribosomal RNA (1229 nucleotides) under metagenome. RNAcentral's name for it is "bacterial SSU rRNA". It matches the Rfam family "Bacterial small subunit ribosomal RNA", at positions 8 to 1242 of the family's 1533-position model. The record is from RNAcentral.
AGAGUUUGAUCCUGGCUCAGGAUGAACGCUAGCGGCAGGCUUAAUACAUGCAAGUCGAGGGGCAGCACGUCUUCGGAUGGUGGCGACCGGCGCACGGGUGCGUAACACGUAUGCAACCUACCUUUAACUGGGGAAUAGCCCCGAGAAAUCGGGAUUAAUACCCCAUAAUAUUCAUUUUUCGCAUGAUUUAUGAAUUAAAACUCCGGUGGUUAAAGAUGGGCAUGCGCGACAUUAGUUAGUUGGUGAGGUAACGGCUCACCAAGACAGCGAUGUCUAGGGGUUCUGAGAGGAAUAUCCCCCACACUGGAACUGAGACACGGACCAGACUCCUACGGGAGGCAGCAGUAAGGAAUAUUGGUCAAUGGGCGAAAGCCUGAACCAGCCAUGCCGCGUGCAGGAUGAAGGCCCUAUGGGUUGUAAACUGCUUUUAUAUAGGAAGAAACUCCCGUACGUGUACGGGACUGACGGUACUAUACGAAUAAGGACCGGCUAACUCCGUGCCAGCAGCCGGUAAUACGGAGGGUCCAAGCGUUAUCCGGAUUUAUUGGGUUUAAAGGGUGCGCAGGCGGACCGAUAAGUCAGUGGUGAAAUCCUACAGCUCAACUGUAGAACUGCCAUUGAUACUGUCGAUCUUGAGUACGGUUGAAGUAGGCGGAAUGUAUCAUGUAGCGGUGAAAUGCAUAGAUAUGAUACAGAACUCCGAUAGCGAAGGCAGCUUACUAAGCCGUAACUGACGCUCAGGCACGAAAGCGUGGGGAGCAAACAGGAUUAGAUACCCUGGUAGUCCACGCCGUAAACGAUGAUCACUCGUUGUUGGCAAUACACAGUCAGCGACUGAACGAAAGCAUUAAGUGAUCCACCUGGGAAGUACGAUCGCAAGGUUGAAACUCAAAGGAAUUGACGGGGGCCCGCACAAGCGGAGGAGCAUGUGGUUUAAUUCGAUGAUACGCGAGGAACCUUACCUGGGCUUAAAUGUAUAAUGACCGGCUGGGAAACCAGUCUUCUCUUCGGAGCAUUUUACAAGGUGCUGCAUGGUUGUCGUCAGCUCGUGCCGUGAGGUGUCGGGUUAAGUCCCAUAACGAGCGCAACCCCUAUUCUUAGUUGCCAUCAGAUAAUGCUGGGGACUCUAAGGAAACUGCCUACGCAAGUAGUGAGGAAGGUGGGGAUGACGUCAAAUCAGCACGGCCCUUAUGUCCAGGGCUACACACGUGCUACAAUGGUCGGUACAU